GGGCCCGCACAAGCGGUGGAGCAUGUGGUUUAAUUCGAUGAUACGCGAGGAACCUUACCAGGGCUUAAAUGUAGUAUGACCGGCUUGGAAACAGGCCUUCUCUUCGGAGCAGAUUACAAGGUGCUGCAUGGUUGUCGUCAGCUCGUGCCGUGAGGUGUUAGGUUAAGUCCUGCAACGAGCGCAACCCCUAUUCUUAGUUGCCAGCGGUUCGGCCGGGGACUCUAAGAAGACUGCCAGCGCAAGCUGAGAGGAAGGUGGGGAUGACGUCAAAUCAUCACGGCCUUACGUCCUGGGCUACACACGUGCUACAAUGGGGAAUACAGACGGACGCUAAGCCGCGAGGUGGUGCU
This 350-nucleotide ribosomal RNA is filed under the name uncultured bacterium. Its description in RNAcentral is "bacterial SSU rRNA". It matches the Rfam family "Bacterial small subunit ribosomal RNA", at positions 917 to 1269 of the family's 1533-position model. The record is from RNAcentral.